RNAcentral lists this ribosomal RNA (468 nucleotides) under uncultured bacterium. RNAcentral describes it as "partial 16S ribosomal RNA". It matches the Rfam family "Bacterial small subunit ribosomal RNA", at positions 28 to 507 of the family's 1533-position model. The record is from RNAcentral.
GACGAACGCUGGCGGCGUGCUUAACACAUGCAAGUCGAACGGAAAGGCCCUGCUUUUGUGGGGUGCUCGAGUGGCGAACGGGUGAGUAACACGUUAGUAACCUGCCCUUGACUUUGGGAUAACUUCAGGAAACUGGGGCUAAUACCGGAUAGGAGCUCCUGCUGCAUGGUGGGGGUUGGAAAGUUUCGGCGGUUGGGGAUGGACUCGCGGCUUAUCAGCUUGUUGGUGGGGUAGUGGCUUACCAAGGCUUUGACGGGUAGCCGGCCUGAGAGGGUGACCGGCCACAGUGGGACUGAGAUACGGCCCAGACUCCUACGGGAGGCAGCAGUGGGGAAUAUUGCACAAUGGGCGGAAGCCUGAUGCAGCAACGCCGCGUGCGGGAUGACGGCCUUCGGGUUGUAAACCGCUUUCGCCUGUGACGAAGCGUGAGUGACGGUAAUGGGUAAAGAAGCACCGGCUAACUACGUG